CCCGCAAGGGGAGCGGCGCACGGGAGAGUAACGCGUGGGAACCUACCUUUUGGUUCGGAAUAACAUCGGGAAACUGGUGCUAAUACCGAAUACGCCCUUCGGGGGAAAGAUUUAUUGCCAUUAGAUGGGCCCGCGUUGGAUUAGCUAGUUGGUGAGGUAACGGCUCACCAAGGCAACGAUCCAUAGCUGGUCUGAGAGGACGACCAGCCUCACUGGGACUGAGACACGGCCCAGACUCCUACGGGAGGCAGCAGUGGGGAAUAUUGGACAAUGGGGGCAACCCUGAUCCAGCCAUGCCGCGUGAGUGAUGAAGGCCUUCGGG
This 322-nucleotide ribosomal RNA is filed under the name uncultured bacterium. RNAcentral describes it as "bacterial SSU rRNA". It matches the Rfam family "Bacterial small subunit ribosomal RNA", at positions 83 to 422 of the family's 1533-position model. The record is from RNAcentral.